GUGCUCCCCCGCCAAUUCCUUUAAGUUUCAACCUUGCGGUCGUACUUCCCAAGUGGCCCGCUUCACGGCUUCCCUACGGCACCACGGCAGUUCACGACUGCCGUGACACCUAGCGGGCAUCGUUUACGGCUGGGACUACCCGGGUAUCUAAUCCGGUUCGUGCCCCUAGCUUUCGUCCCUCACCGUCGGACCUGUUCUGGUAGGACGCCUUCGCCACCGGUGGUCCCCAGAGGAUUACAGGAUUUCACUCCUACCCCCUGAGUACCUCCUACCUCUCCCAGUCCCAAGCAAUGUAGUAUCCCGCAGACGCCCAACGGUUAAGCCGCUGGAUUUCCCACAAGACUUGCAAAGCCGGCUACGGACCCUUUAGACUCAAUAAUAUCGGCCACCACUCGAGCCGCCGGUAUUACCGCGGCGGCUGGCACCGGUCUUGCCCGGCCCUUGCUAACAGCCGUUUUUUAGACAGCUGGACAGACACCUAAUGUAGAUGCCACUCGAUGUUCCCCUAUCGCAGUUGCCUGCAUUGUAGAGUUUUCGCGCCUGCUGCGCCCCGUAGGGCCUGGAUUCGUGUCUCAGAAUCCAUCUCCGGGCUCUUGCUCCCACAACCCGUACUGAUAAUCGGCACGCCGGUACUUUACACCGGCGUCAACCUAAUCAGCCGCAGACCCAUCCAAAGGCGCCAGAGCUUUCAAUCAAAAAACCCUUCCAGUACUCUUGACCUAUCCGGUAUUAUCCCCAGUUUCCCGGAGUUAUCCCAGACCUUUGGGUAGGUUGUCCACGUGUUACUGAGCCGU
Molecule: ribosomal RNA, 794 nt
Filed under: uncultured Methanosarcinaceae archaeon
Lineage: Archaea; Methanobacteriati; Methanobacteriota; Methanomicrobia; Methanosarcinales; Methanosarcinaceae
Description: partial 16S ribosomal RNA
Source: RNAcentral